AUACGGAGGGUGCAAGCGUUACUCGGAAUCACUGGGCGUAAAGCGCGCGCAGGCGGCUUGAUAAGUUGGACGUGAAAGCCUACGGCUCAACCGUAGAACUGCAUCCAAAACUGUCAGGCUAGAGUGUGGGAGAGGAAGAUGGAAUUAGUUGUGUAGGGGUAAAAUCCGUAGAGAUAACUAGGAAUACCAAAAGCGAAGGCAAUCUUCUGGAACACUACUGACGCUGAGGCGCGAAGGCGUGGGGAGCAAACAGGAUUAGAAACCCCGGUAGUCC
Molecule: ribosomal RNA, 274 nt
Filed under: uncultured bacterium
Lineage: Bacteria
Description: partial 16S ribosomal RNA
Rfam family: Bacterial small subunit ribosomal RNA
Source: RNAcentral